RNAcentral lists this ribosomal RNA (445 nucleotides) under uncultured bacterium. RNAcentral describes it as "partial 16S ribosomal RNA". It matches the Rfam family "Bacterial small subunit ribosomal RNA", at positions 354 to 796 of the family's 1533-position model. The record is from RNAcentral.
GUGAGGAAUAUUGGUCAAUGGGCGGGAGCCUGAACCAGCCAAGUCGCGUGAAGGAAGAAGGAUCUAUGGUUCGUAAACUUCUUUUGCAGGGGAAUAAAGUGCAGGACGUGUCCUGUUUUGUAUGUACCCUGAGAAUAAGGAUCGGCUAACUCCGUGCCAGCAGCCGCGGUAAUACGGAGGAUCCGAGCGUUAUCCGGAUUUAUUGGGUUUAAAGGGUGCGUAGGUGGUUUGAUAAGUCAGCGGUGAAAGUUUGCAGCUUAACUGUAAAGAUGGCGUUGAAACUGUGGGACUUGAGUGUAAAUGAGGUAGGCGGAAUGCGUGGUGUAGAGGUGAAAUGCAUAGAUAUCACGCAGAACUCAGAUUGCGAAGGCAGCUUACUAAGCUACAACUGACACUGAAGCACGAAAGCGUGGGGAUCAAACAGGAUUAGAAACCCGAGUAGUCC